Molecule: long non-coding RNA, 2256 nt
Filed under: Chrysemys picta bellii (western painted turtle)
Lineage: Eukaryota; Metazoa; Chordata; Testudines; Emydidae
Description: lncRNA (ENSCPBG00000005763.1)
Source: RNAcentral
CCGGGCGCGGAGAGGAGAGUGGGGUACAGGCACCGGGAGCUAGGGAGCCCCUGUGCGGUGCGCGGGGCUGCUCUCCCUGACCCCUCGCUGUCUCACGCUUUCUCUUGCAGAUGCGGCUGGAGAUGCUGCGGUGGGCUCGCUGCUGCUGCUGGCUGGGUGUUUGCCUCUCGCUGCUGGGGGAAGGGGGAGGAGGCAGCGGCGCUGCCGGCUGCCGGGGCACCCUGUGUGGCGACGGCGGCGGUGAUCGAGAUCCGCCCAGACAGCAGUGCCUGGGGCCCCGCUGCUCGGGCAGAGCCAGCCGCCCGUCCCGCUCCUUCCCUCACACCGUCACGCCCGCCCGCGGCAAGCAGGCGCCGAGCGCCCCGCACGCUGCCCCUCUCCCCGCCUUCCCCUCCAGGAGCACGGCCGAGCUCAGCCCGGAGCUCCCUGCCCCGGCCGCUAGGGGCGCCGGGGAGACCUGCCUGGGAGGGGACUGCGCCGCCCGGGCCCCCAACGGCACCAGCCGGGACUGCAAAGGCGUUGAAUGCAAAUUGCCCCUGCGGCUCCGCCACAGGUCCCGGCCGGGCAGCAGGGCUCAGUGCGCCCAGCAGGGAGAGCCCUGCCCGGAGCCCGCCCUGCUCCGAGAGGCAGAGCGAGCCGCCCAGUUCCUCGCGGAAGACUUCGCCUACCCGGCCUCGGAGCUGGGCGUGCAGCUCACCUGCGACCUCAAACCAGGAGAAAAUGAAGUUCCAUCUGAAGAUGCACUAAUAUUACAACUGCAGCUUGCAAAAGGCCAAGAGAAAUUUGUUGAAAUGUUAAAAAGCCAACAGAAGAUAAUUGUGGAUUUGCAACAAAAACUUGCUGAACAACAGAGCACGUUAGUUAGCCAGCAACGAGAAAUUCUUGAACAACAAAGAAAAAUGUAUGAGCAAAUGGAUCUGAUAAAAGUCCAGUAUGGCAUGCUUUUCGACACAGUGAAACAAAUGUCAUUCCAGAGUUUGCAUGAGGAUAUUCAACAUUAUUUUGAAGCUCAGCUUCAAGGACUUCAGAACCAGGUCAGAAAUCAUCUCCAGAAGUCAUACUCUGUACAUAAAGUAGAAGUUGAUGCAAAAGUGAUUGAUGUUGGGGAGUCUUUGCUGGACUGCGGCCUUUGUAAAACUGAUGAAUUUUGCAAUUUUCAAAAGACACCAUCACAGUGUGAAAAAUGCACCUUGUGCCCUGCUGGCUUUUUCCAAAUGUCUGAAUGUUCUGCAAACGCCGAUCGGAUUUGCCAGGACAGAGACGAAUGCAUUGAAUCUCCCAACAUUUGUGGUGAGAGAAUAAAAUGCCUGAAUACUCCAGGGAUUGCUCUGUUGACAUCUUGGAUCGUAGUGUCAGGAUUCCAGCUCAGGCUCUACUUCUUACAAAGCAUUCUCUUGAACUCAGAUUUUGCAGGACCUACAAAAAUAUGAGGGAAGGCCUUCCAUCAAACUUCAAAUUUUGACUAUGCUGUAUUUGGAUGGGAUUACAAUAUUUAUGGAAUUGCUUGUGUGUCCUAAUAUGGAUGUACUCAGUGAAAUUUUUUACAGCACAGAUCAUGUACAUGCUGUAAUUGCUUACUUUGUAUGUGUUUUAUGUAUUGGUUAGAAAUGGCACUAGGCAGGUACCAGUGAGAAUUAUAAAUAUUAAGGCUAAGGAAAAGCUUUCAGAGUAGAAGUGCUUCACUACACUAUGCUCCUGAUUCUGCACUCCUAGCAAUCCCAAAACUUUCAAGUCAAAGGCAGUUUUGGAUGCACUAUGGCCGGAAUGCAAAGUCUGGCUCCUAAGUGGUUAAACUAAACAUCACAAAUACUGCUUCUCUUUCACUAUUUGUUAUCUCAGAGGAUGCAGGCAGAUUAGGACAGAUCACUGUCUCUCCAAAUACUUCUUUAACAAUAAUUUACAGCAAAUUUCACUUUCAAGUGGGUUGUAGCCAAUUGUUUCCUUGCCCUCCUCACUAAAAAUACCCUACAUCUAUAUUUCAGUCCAGAUUUUGCCUUUGGUUACACGAACGUAAGCCUGGAGUAACUAGGAAUCACUUUUGAUUUACACCAGUGUAACUAAGAGCAGACUAUGGGCCUCCAUAUUUUUAUAUGUGCUCUGAAGCCAGUACCAUGUACUGUAUGACAUGAUCACCAACAGUGCCCUGUAAUCCUACACCAAAUAUUAUUCAAAAGGAAUUGGGCAUAGUGAAAAUGAACGUUAAUGUUAUGGUACCCAAAAUGUAACCAAAUUGCAUAUUUUCCCUAUAAUUGGUUU